CAGCCGCCGCGGUAAUACGAAGGGGGCUAGCGUUGCUCGGAAUGACUGGGCGUAAAGGGCGCGUAGGCGGCGGCCAAAGUCAGGCGUGAAAUUCCCGGGCUCAACCUGGGGGCUGCGUUUGAUACUUGGUUGCUUGAGUGGGGAAGAGGGUCGUGGAAUUCCCAGUGUAGAGGUGAAAUUCGUAGAUAUUGGGAAGAACACCGGUGGCGAAGGCGGCGACCUGGUCCUUUACUGACGCUGAGGCGCGAAAGCGGGGGGAGCAAACAGGAUUAGAUACCCCUGUAGUCCCUGUCUCUUAUAC
This 301-nucleotide ribosomal RNA is filed under the name uncultured bacterium. Its description in RNAcentral is "partial 16S ribosomal RNA". It matches the Rfam family "Bacterial small subunit ribosomal RNA", at positions 509 to 807 of the family's 1533-position model. The record is from RNAcentral.